This 465-nucleotide ribosomal RNA is filed under the name Vreelandella stevensii. RNAcentral describes it as "partial 16S ribosomal RNA". It matches the Rfam family "Bacterial small subunit ribosomal RNA", at positions 338 to 795 of the family's 1533-position model. The record is from RNAcentral. Lineage: Bacteria; Pseudomonadati; Pseudomonadota; Gammaproteobacteria; Oceanospirillales; Halomonadaceae.
CCUACGGGUGGCAGCAGUGGGGAAUAUUGGACAAUGGGGGGAACCCUGAUCCAGCCAUGCCGCGUGUGUGAAGAAGGCCCUCGGGUUGUAAAGCACUUUCAGUGAGGAAGAACACCUGGUGGUUAAUACCCAUCAGGAAAGACAUCACUCACAGAAGAAGCACCGGCUAACUCCGUGCCAGCAGCCGCGGUAAUACGGAGGGUGCGAGCGUUAAUCGGAAUUACUGGGCGUAAAGCGCGCGUAGGUGGCUUGAUAAGCCGGUUGUGAAAGCCCCGGGCUCAACCUGGGAACGGCAUCCGGAACUGUCAAGCUAGAGUGCAGGAGAGGAAGGUAGAAUUCCCGGUGUAGCGGUGAAAUGCGUAGAGAUCGGGAGGAAUACCAGUGGCGAAGGCGGCCUUCUGGACUGACACUGACACUGAGGUGCGAAAGCGUGGGUAGCAAACAGGAUUAGAUACCCGUGUAGUC